GCCUCCGUAGCUCAACUGGUAGAGCAGCUGACUCUUAAUCAGUUGGUUCGGGGUUCGAGUCCCUGCGGGGGCA
Molecule: transfer RNA, 73 nt
Filed under: Calditrichota bacterium
Lineage: Bacteria; Pseudomonadati; Calditrichota
Also listed under: 1 other name
Description: Calditrichaeota bacterium tRNA-Lys
Rfam family: tRNA
About the family: Transfer RNA (tRNA) molecules are approximately 80 nucleotides in length. Their secondary structure includes four short double-helical elements and three loops (D, anti-codon, and T loops).
Source: RNAcentral